Molecule: long non-coding RNA, 2683 nt
Organism: Rosa rugosa (rugosa rose)
Lineage: Eukaryota; Viridiplantae; Streptophyta; Magnoliopsida; Rosales; Rosaceae
Exons: 2
Source: RefSeq, a predicted model, not a curated record
UUAUUUUCUUUGAAUAUGUCAAGCAAGUUGUUAGCGAUAGCGGAUACAUAGCUAAGCUUGAUUGAUUUAUAUUUUUGUGAUGCUGGUUUGGGGUGGUACCACCCUUUUUCUGGAACAGCUUGUUUAUUUGACAAUGUUUGCUUGUUUAGAAGAUUGAUUGAAAGGGAAUGAUUAUACAGUCAUUUGUUUUUGUUAUGUUACUUAUGCAUAUAUGUGUUGUCACACCCCAAACCCGGGGGGUGUGACUUAAGGGGUUCUCAAGUAAGAGAAAUUUAGAAAAAAGACCAAAUUUGACACAAUUGAAGUGUAACCUUAAGGCAACAACAGUUCAGCCUAGGGGAUUUUGAAAAUGAACCGUUCAGCUUAGGUAAUGAAUUUAACUUUGUUGAGGGUCAGUUACUAGAUUCAUGAUUUCAGUUUGAUUGAGUUAAUUUAUAUGAUUGUGUAUCAUCUGUUCAGAUAGUGAAAGUGUUGCAUAAAGACACCAUAUUGGCUUUUGAAAUCUCUAGUUAUAUCUCAGCAUAAUUUUUUAUUCAUCCUUCAAUAUUGAUUUCAGCUGAGCUGUGUUUUCUUUAAAAUUGGACAUUCCAACACUUUCUCCAAACAAGUUUCGUCCAAAACAAAAUAAGUUUGAACCCGUAGCUCCUUCCCAAAGAAAAGUCAGUUAACUGGAAUUUUGCAAAAACUGCCCUGCAGCAUAGCCCUCUUCAGUAUUUCUGUUUCUCAACAUAUUGGCCUCCAAAUAUUCUGAAAUUUUGACAUGUUUCUUUUCUGUUAGUUAACAAAGGAUCUGGAAAGUUUCGUCUUAUUUCGAUGUGUAGUGAAUUUUCGGUGAUUUUUCCAAAUUUGGUCUGCAUUUGGAAAAGUUCCAGCACUCUAAAUGUCUCCUUUGAAUUUCUGUUGAGAUUUGAACUUCCACUUGAAUUAUUUAACCUCUGGUUUUUGUGUAUAUUGAACUAUAUUUCCCAAUGCUCGUUUCGAAACUGAUUUCUUGUCAUUUGGACUUGCAAUGAAUUUUUUUGGUGAAUUUUCUAAGUUGACUUUGCUGCUGCAAUAUUUUUCUAAAACCUGACAGUUCAGUCUAUCUGCAUCCAUCUUUUCCCUUACUUCUCGAACUCCGAUUUUCUUGAAAAUUUAGUAUGUGUUUCUUUAACAUGGUUACUUUUAGUCUGAAAAGUUUCAAGUUCAUUGCUACAGAAAUGAAGUUUUAGUAAAUCUUCAAAGUUAAGUUGUUCAUGCUUUAACUCUCCAGCCGACUUAUGUCUCCCUUUCGUUAUAACUCUAUUGAAUCAGCUUUCAGUUCUUCAUCUAUAGUUUUCAAGUUCAGAUAAUGUAUUUUGUUGCUUGAUUAACAUAUAGUGUCAUUUGGUUUAAUGUUACUUACAUUUCUUUCUUCAAAUCAAAGUCCAUCCCGAAGUACUUCAUACUUUUAGGCUAAGAUUGUAUCGAUCUUGGUCUUAUUCACAUUUUCUCUUACUUGAGAACCCCUUAAGUCAUACCCCGGGAUUGGGGUGUGAUAUGUGUAUGUUCUAUGGGUACAGCUUAUGAAGACACGAAGACGAUUGGAGUUUCUUCUAGAGGAUCUUCCUUGCGAUUUUAAUCUAUCGGAGUAUUAUGACACAUCAGAUGAACUUAUAGAACUCUCUCUCUCUCUCUCUCUCUACAGCUUAUGAAGACACGAAGACGAUUGGAGCUUCUUCUAGAGGAUCUUCCUUGCGAUUUUAAUCUAUCGGAGUAUUAUGACACAUCAGAUGAACUUGUAGAACUCUCUCUCUCUCUCUCUCUCUCUCUCGGAGUAUUAUGACACAUCAGAUGAACUUGUAGAACUCUCUCUCUCUCUCUCUCUCUCUCUCUCUCUCUCUCUCUCAAUGAACUUGUAGAAGACGAUUGGAGCUUCUUCUAGAGGAUCUUCCUUGCGAUAUUAAUCUAUUGGAGUAUUAUGACACAUCAAAUGAACUUGUAGAACUCUCUCUCUCUCUGUGCUGAUGGUCGGCUUGCUGAUUUGAUCCGAAGAGUUGCUACCUUUGGGAUGGUAUUAAUGAAAGCUCGACUUGCGUCAGAUGUGCUUUUAUUUUAUUGUAGAAGAAGUUGCUACCCCAGGCUGAGCUUGGCUUCCUCAACAUAGGAAGCUGCCCCUCAAGAAGAAAGAGCUCUACUGGAAUUGGACAUCUUCGGGCAAUUCCAUGGGUGUUUGCAUGGACUCAAACCAGAUUUGUCUUCCAGCUUGGCUUGGAGUUAAACCCCUUGUUGAUCUUUUUGUGAGAGCAUCAAACACACCAGCCAUAAAGAUGUAUGAGAAGAGUCCCAUAUUGAAUCUGUCAUUCUUGCCAAGAUUAUAGGAGCUAUGCAGACGUACUUCCUAGUUCCAAUCUUUGCCUCAUGUUUUACGUUUUUUACCAAGCUUUGUGGUUGUGACUAGGGAAAUGUUUUGUUGGCGGGCCAUCCCUGGGAUGAGAAAUUAUAAUGGUGUACGGGUGCUAUAUUUUUACAUUUAGACUCAUGAAGAUCUAUCAGUGAUUGUCAUCCCUUGCAAAGGUUUCUUUUAGGGUAUGUUUCUGUGGAAUCUGACAAAAGAAGAGAAUUAUUUUCAACACUCUCAAGUUCAACAAUGUGAUGCUUAGAAGCACAAAAUUGGUUCAUAGUUCAAGUGGUGACUUAGAAUGAUUUACGGGGAAAUUCUUUA